RNAcentral lists this ribosomal RNA (1205 nucleotides) under Canis lupus familiaris (dog). RNAcentral describes it as "eukaryotic LSU rRNA". It matches the Rfam family "Eukaryotic large subunit ribosomal RNA", at positions 2017 to 3401 of the family's 3401-position model. The record is from RNAcentral. Lineage: Eukaryota; Metazoa; Chordata; Mammalia; Carnivora; Canidae.
GCAGAGGGUUGGGUGACUGGGUGACGGGCACUGAGGGCGGCACUUGACAGGAUGAGCACUGGGUGUUAUGCUAUAUGUUGGCAAAUUGAACUCCAAAUAAAAAAUACAAAAAACAAACAAACAAAAAAAGCAUCUCAAAGGCCUCGGUGGGUGUUGACACAUGUGAUUUCUGCUCAGUGCUCUGAAUGUCAGAGUAAAGAAGUUCAAUGAAGUGUGGGUAAAUGGCAGCAGUAAUAGGACUCUCUUAAGGUAGCUAAACCCCGGUCAUCAAAUUAGUGAUGGGAAUGAAUUGGUGAAUGAGAUUCCCACUGUCCCUACCUACUGUCUAGCGGAACCACAUCCAAAGGAAUGGGCUUGGUGGAAUCAGUGGGGAAAGAAGACCCUGUUGACCUUGACUCCUCUCUGGCACGAUGAAGAGACAUGAGGGUUGUAGAAUAAGUGGGAGGCCUCUGUUGCUCCUCUGUCCCUGUGAGGGGGCACAGGUCCGCUGGCCUUGCCGGCUGCUGGUGAAAUACCACUACUCUUACUGUUUUUUCACUGACACAUGAGGCGAGGUGUAGGAAGGGAGAAAACUUAGGCAGCUCAGCUCCACUUGCUCCGGGGACAGUGACAGGUGGGGAGUUUGACUGGGGCCGUACACCUGUCAAACGGUAACUGCACGUGUCCUAAGGUGACCUCACAGAGGACAGAAACCUCCCAUGCAGCAGAACAGCAAAAGCUCGCUGGAUCUUGAUUUUCAGUUCGAACACAGACUGUGAAAGUGCGGCCUCACAAUCCUGACCUUUUGGGUUUUAAGCAGGAGGUGUCAGAAAAGUUACCACAGUGGUAACUGGCUUGUGGUGGCCAAGAGUUCACAGCAGCCUCAAUUUUUGAUCCUUCAGUGUGGGCUCUUCCUAUCAUUGUGAAGCAGAAUUCACCAAGGGUUGGGUUGUUUGUUCACUAAUAGAGAACGUGAGCUGGGCUUCGAUCAUGGUGAGACAGGUUAGUUUUACCCUAUUGAUGAUGUGUUGUUGCCAUGGAAAUCAUGUUCAGUACAGUGGAACCACAGGCUCAGACAUUUGGUGUAUGUGCUUGGCUGAGGAGGCAAGGGGCGGAACCUGUCAUCUAUAGGAUUAGGACUAAAAAGGCCUCUAAGUCUGAAUCCCACCCAGGCGGAACCAGACAGCAGCACCGAGGUGCCUGGUUGGCCUCUGAGAGUCAGUUCU